CGACGAAUAUUCCGCAAUGCGCGAAAGCGUGACGGAGCAAUACCGCGUGUAGGAUGAAGCGGCUUCGCCGUGUAAACUACUGUCAGGACCUAGGAAGAACUGACCGGGUCCAGAGGAAGGGCCGGCUAAACUCGUGCCAGCAGCCGCGGUAAUACGAGUGGCCCGAGCGUUAUUCAGAAUCACUGGGCUUAAAGGGUGCGCAGGCGGAUGCGCAAGCAUCUUGUGAAAUCCCACGGCUCAACCGUGGAAUUGCAGGGUGAACUGCGUGUCUUGAGGGAGGCAGAGGCCGACGGAACGAUAGGUGGAGCGGUGGAAUGCGUAGAUAUCUAUCGGAACGCCAAAGGUGAAGACAGUCGGCUGGGCCUUUUCUGACGCUCAUGCACGAAAGCGUGGGGAGCAAACAGGAUUAGAUACCCCCGUAGUCC
Molecule: ribosomal RNA, 425 nt
Filed under: uncultured prokaryote
Description: bacterial SSU rRNA
Rfam family: Bacterial small subunit ribosomal RNA
Source: RNAcentral